This 77-nucleotide transfer RNA is filed under the name Oleiharenicola lentus. RNAcentral's name for it is "Lacunisphaera sp. TWA-58 tRNA-Arg". It matches the Rfam family "tRNA". Rfam says of the family: Transfer RNA (tRNA) molecules are approximately 80 nucleotides in length. Their secondary structure includes four short double-helical elements and three loops (D, anti-codon, and T loops). Further hydrogen bonds mediate the characteristic L-shaped molecular structure. tRNAs have two regions of fundamental functional importance: the anti-codon, which is responsible for specific mRNA codon recognition, and the 3' end, to which the tRNAs corresponding amino acid is attached (by aminoacyl-tRNA synthetases). tRNAs cope with the degeneracy of the genetic code in two manners: having more than one tRNA (with a specific anti-codon) for a particular amino acid; and 'wobble' base-pairing, i.e. permitting non-standard base-pairing at the 3rd anti-codon position. Lineage: Bacteria; Pseudomonadati; Verrucomicrobiota; Opitutia; Opitutales; Opitutaceae. The record is from RNAcentral. RNAcentral also lists the same sequence under 1 other name.
GCGAGGGUAGCUCAGCUGGAUAGAGCACCGGUUUUCUAAACCGGUCGUCGGGAGUUCGAGUCUCCCCCCUCGCGCCA